AGUAGCAGCGGGUUCAUAUAUUUGGGGACCGACGAUGCAACGAUACAUGAAUACAGAUCCAGAAGUUUUAGCUUUCAGAAAAAAAUCCCAAUUAGAGCGAGAGCUCAAUCAAAUUGAGAAACAAACGAAAUAAAUUUAUGAAUUUUGUAUUGCUGUAGCAUAGCCGCCAUUUUGCUUUCUUCAGAACAGCUGAUUGAAAAACUUGUAAGUUGUAACUGGUCACAGUCACAGUCACAGUCACAGUCGCUAUCAGGUGAGAUGUUAUCGGUGUUAUUAACUUUUUUAUUCAGUUGUAUGAGACUGCUAGUCUCACCAAAUUUUGGCUUAAUAAAAAUAAUAUUUUAUAUUUUA
Long non-coding RNA from Daphnia pulex (common water flea), 351 nucleotides. RefSeq lists it as uncharacterized. NCBI's taxonomy places the organism in Eukaryota, Metazoa, Arthropoda, Branchiopoda, Diplostraca, Daphniidae. The record is from RefSeq and is a predicted model, not a curated record. The transcript has 2 exons.